UUAAGUUCAGCGCGUAUUCCUACCUGAUCCGAGGUCAACCAUUAGAAGUUUCCCGGUGAGGGGAGAGGACCGGGCCCGGGCGCCCUUGUCCGAUACGUGCUCGUGAAAGCUCAGUGUACCGGGGGAACCACAGGCCGCCGUCAUUGUCUUUAGGAGGGGUCGUGGGUACCUCGACCAGGCUGUCCAACACCAAGCACGGG
Molecule: unclassified non-coding RNA, 200 nt
Filed under: Chaetothyriales sp.
Lineage: Eukaryota; Fungi; Ascomycota; Eurotiomycetes; Chaetothyriales
Description: partial internal transcribed spacer 2
Source: RNAcentral